UGGAUGAAAUAUGAAGUUUUAUUAAAAGAAAAGGGGUGAAAAGAACAAAGUUUUGUCCAUCUUUGCUCAUCAUAGCUGAAAGUUAGAGAAGAGAAAGGAGAGGAGAAAGCUCUUGAGUAUUCGGUCAUUAGGAGGAGGAAAAUUGAAGGUGUGGUUGGCCGAAUAUUGUAAGGGGUUUGUAACACCCCAAACCCGAGACCAUCGCCGGUGUCGGACACGAGGGGUUAACGAGACAAAUCCUCUUAAAGUACCGACCAAUUUGGCAUUUCUGGACAGGCUGGAAAACUGCAUCACCGUCGUCUUAAAAAUCAUAUCUCGAGUUUCAAAACUCAGAAACUGGUUUCGUAAAUUUUUCCUGAAUUUAGACUCAUAUACCCAUCCAUGGAUUUAUUUUUAGAAUUUUUGGUUGGGCCAAUUCGUACAGUUUAUUAGUUAAAGUCACCCAUGUUACAGGGAUCGACUGCUCUGACCUUCGCGCGUUACAACUUGAAUAUCUCUCUGUACAGGGCUUUAAUACUGGUUCCGUUUGUUUCUAAUGAAACUAGACUCAAAAUGGAAUCUGUACAUAUAAGGCAUGACUCCUAAUUCUUUCUGGAUAAUUUAUGGUAAAUUUUCAAAGUCGCGACAGGGGACCCAGAAACCGUUCUGGUCCUGUCUCACAAGAA
This is a long non-coding RNA of Gossypium arboreum, 665 nucleotides long. RefSeq lists it as uncharacterized. The transcript has 2 exons. NCBI's taxonomy places the organism in Eukaryota, Viridiplantae, Streptophyta, Magnoliopsida, Malvales, Malvaceae. The record is from RefSeq and is a predicted model, not a curated record.